GUGGGGAAUUUUGGACAAUGGGGGCAACCCUGAUCCAGCCAUGCCGCGUGCGGGAAGAAGGCCUUCGGGUUGUAAACCGCUUUUGUCAGGGAAGAAAUCCUUUGGGUUAAUACCUCGGAGGGAUGACGGUACCUGAAGAAUAAGCACCGGCUAACUACGUGCCAGCAGCCGCGGUAAUACGUAGGGUGCGAGCGUUAAUCGGAAUUACUGGGCGUAAAGCGUGCGAAGGCGGUUUUGUAAGAUCGAUGUGAAAUCCCCGGGCUCAACCUGGGAACUGCAUUGGUGACUGCAAGGCUGGAGUGCGGCAGAGGGGGAUGGAAUUCCGCGUGUAGCAGUGAAAUGCGUAGAUAUGCGGAGGAACACCGAUGGCGAAGGCAAUCCCCUGGGCCUGCACUGACGCUCAUGCACGAAAGCGUGGGGAGCAAACAGGAUUAGAAACCCUAGUAGUCC
This 450-nucleotide ribosomal RNA is filed under the name uncultured bacterium. Its description in RNAcentral is "bacterial SSU rRNA". It matches the Rfam family "Bacterial small subunit ribosomal RNA", at positions 354 to 796 of the family's 1533-position model. The record is from RNAcentral.